AUGAGAGAACGGAGCGAGCGGCAAGGUGACACGAGAGCCGCCCUCCUCCCUCCCGCCCAGGCAGCGAGCCCUCCGCCUCGGGGCCGCCGGAGCCGAGCCCCUCCCGCUGCCCGCGGGCAGCUCCCGAGCUCCCUCACCGCUCUCUCCUCGGGGCCGUUUCUCCGCGUCGCUGCCUCUGGUAAUAAGCCGAGGACAGGGGCGAGCCGCCGCUCGAGGCUCCGCUGCCGCUCUUCCCCUUCAGCCGAGCGGGGUGCGCGGCUCCGUCCGGCCCGGCCUGAGGUGAGGCCCUGCUCCCGCCGGAGCCCCUCCGCUGCGGCGCGGGGAGCGCCGGGCCCGCCUGUCCCCUCCGCCCCGGCUCUGCUGCACCUGCCGCGCUGCCGGGCUGUCCCUGCGGCGCGUGCCGAGGAGAGGAGAAGGCACUCUCUCUCCGUCCUCCCUCAACUUCUCAUCACUUUCCUCCGCCCCCGCUCGGCCCCACCGCGCUGCCGACCCGGCGCCCGCCCGCCCGCCGGACGCAUGCACCGGCGCCGCCGUCGACCCUCCGGAGAUGCCCUCGGGCACACAGGGAGCGGUCGCCCCUCGGCCCUGCACCUCGCCGGCACAGAGAGCUGCUGUCCCGCUCUCCGGGCGCCCUCCCGCCCCAUGCACUGCCCGGCUCCCAGGACGGCGGCGAGCUGCCGGCGGGGCAGGUGCCCUGUGCCCGCCUCUCGCGGGUGGGACCCGGCCGCGCUCCGCCAAUCAGUCCGUCAAUCUGGCGGGGAGGCCGCGGCCGUGCGAGGUGAGCCCGGAGCCGAAUUACUAAUGAUUUCCAAACUGCGUGCGCGAGUAAUAGCAUCUAGAGCCAUUCUUACCCUCCUGAAAAGAAGAUGGCACAGAGGCAAAAGGUGCUGGAAUAAGCCAGGUCAAGUCAGCAGAGCAGUCAGAUAAUUGUAAAGAUGUGGUUUCGUUAUGUGACAAGUAAGGACAUGGUACUGAUAGUGACUAAGAAAUUAUUUUGCAACCCAUGCUGUAUUGCAAAUGUUGAUUAGAAAUAACUUUUCUCCAAACUGUAAUUAGAUGUGAAAUAAUCAUACAAACCUUCAGACAUCUAUGAAAUGGUGUGUAAGUGGUGUUAAUGUGGUGAUUGUGUAGUGAAUUGGAAUUGAGAGUUGUGCAUAAUAAACACAUGAAAUUAAGCA
This 1178-nucleotide long non-coding RNA is filed under the name Numida meleagris (helmeted guineafowl). RNAcentral's name for it is "lncRNA (ENSNMEG00000001283.1)". Lineage: Eukaryota; Metazoa; Chordata; Aves; Galliformes; Numididae. The record is from RNAcentral.